Molecule: ribosomal RNA, 442 nt
Filed under: uncultured bacterium
Lineage: Bacteria
Description: partial 16S ribosomal RNA
Rfam family: Bacterial small subunit ribosomal RNA
Source: RNAcentral
CCUACGGGAGGCAGCAGUGGGGAAUAUUGGGCAAUGGGCGCAAGCCUGAACCAGCAACGCCGCGUGAAGGAAGACGGCUUUCGGGUUGUAAACUUCUUUUUAGAGGGAAGAGCAGAAGACGGUACCUAUUGAAUAAGACACGGCUAAAUAAGUGCCAGCAGCCGCGGUAAUACGUAGGUGGCAAGCGUUGUCCGGAUUUACUGGGUGUAAAGGGAGUGCAGCCGGGAAGACAGGUCAUAUGUGAAAUCCCGCGGCUCAACCGCGGAACUGCAGUUGAAACUGUUUUUCUUGAGUACCGGAGAGGUAAUCGGAAUUCCUUGUGUAGCGGUGAAAUGCGUAGAUAUAAGGAAGAACACCAGUGGCGAAGGCAGAUUACUGGACGGCAACUGACGGUGAGGCGCGAAAGCGUGGGUAGCAAACAGGAUUAGAUACCCUAGUAGUC